GAGGGUCGAAAGGCCUCCUACUGCUCUUAACCAACCCGCGUACCGGCCGGAAACCAUGUCUCUGCCUCGGCAGCGGCCCCAGGGGGGGCCAGCAGCCCGCCUAGCCCCUCGCGCGGCGGCGGGUGCUGCCGGCGGCGCCCAAACCAGAUGAACAUUGCAGAUGCAUGAUAUGUUUACGAACCUGUUA
This 187-nucleotide unclassified non-coding RNA is filed under the name uncultured Hypocreales. RNAcentral describes it as "sequence contains ITS1". The record is from RNAcentral. Lineage: Eukaryota; Fungi; Ascomycota; Sordariomycetes; Hypocreales.